UCGUGGGGCUUCGGCCCCGUCGAGAUAGCACCCUUGCCUUUAUGAGUACCUUGGUUCCCUCCCCCGACCUCACGGGGAGCGGGAGGCACCUCGCGUUUCUUAAAACCAAACUCUUUGUAAUCACCUGUAACCGUCUGAUAAAAUAAACAAAAAUCA
Molecule: unclassified non-coding RNA, 156 nt
Filed under: uncultured Ascomycota
Lineage: Eukaryota; Fungi; Ascomycota
Description: sequence contains ITS1
Source: RNAcentral